AUACUGCAUUCCCUUUUUCUCUUUUUAACCACUCGGGCAUGUCGGCGAGAAUUACGUUCUAGGACAGAGGAUAAAGUGCGUACCUUUCUGUUAGCGUAAUUCUAGCAGAAUUCUGGCAGGAUUUUAGUGGUGUUUAAAAAGCAAAAGCAUGAAUAAUAAUAUUAAACCUAAGUUUUUGUUUCUAUUUGGUAUUUUCUGCACAACAUUAUGUAUAAAUGCUGAAACCAAAACCGAGGAAAUCUUGUCAUGGAACGAUUCUAAAAAGAAUGUAACAGGUUCAAACAAUUUUCAUAUAUCUCCCAACAAAAAUCCAAUUUAUUUGCUGUUUGGUUCCAUACAUAAGACACCUCCAAAGUUUCUAAAGCAUUUGCAGUGCCUGUUCCUUCCCAAAAGCAAUGAUGUUUGGUUGUCUCCACAUAAAAGUAUCAUCAAAAACUGGAGAUUUUGAUUUUGGUUUAAGUUCCAGCAGAGAAUCGGUUGAUUCGUCAUGGUUUACAUGGAUAAUGUCAAUUGGACAAAUAUUCAAAACGAAAGUUUCUUCAAGUUCGGUGACUAAAGAGAAUUGUGUUUCCCCGUAUAAUGCAAUAUUUCUUACAAUUAAAACUAAUGAACAAAAUCAGACGUUUGAUGUGGAAACUCACUUAAAGUGUAAGAAAUUGAAUUUCUGUUUGAUAUGUUUUUAUAAUUGUCUGUGUAUACUAUUAGGUGCAUACAUCCGUAUAAUUUUAUAUUACCUUUGCACCUAAAAAAAUUGUUGCAAAAAAAUCAGUUGCAAAUACAGUCAACACCGCUAAAUCGGACCACAUUUUGCGGGGCGAACAAAGUUCAUGAUAAUCCGACCCCUACGUCGCCCUUUCUCUCUAAAUAGUGCACACAUCUGCUCGUGAAUGUCUAAGGAUACUGCGUAAGGCAAAAGGAUGCGAUGCCACGCGUUUGUGUUUCUAUUGUACGAUGUCAAACAUAAACUCUGCAGCCAAACGCGUGU
This is a non-coding RNA of Ciona intestinalis (vase tunicate), 985 nucleotides long. The record is from RefSeq and is a predicted model, not a curated record. Lineage: Eukaryota; Metazoa; Chordata; Ascidiacea; Phlebobranchia; Cionidae.